Molecule: long non-coding RNA, 1184 nt
Organism: Hemicordylus capensis (graceful crag lizard)
Lineage: Eukaryota; Metazoa; Chordata; Lepidosauria; Squamata; Cordylidae
Exons: 2
Source: RefSeq, a predicted model, not a curated record
UUUGGGAUUAUUGUAACGCCGGAAGGCGGUGAGUUUUGCCGUUUGCAAAUCUUUUAAAACUUGCGUAGGAAACAGUGGGGCUUUUGAAGUCGAAGGAUUUUUGUUUUUUUUUAAGGGCGAUAUGGAGAGGGCAGAUGAUUGGUGUUGCGGAGAUCAUCGUGCUUUCCUGGAGCGACCCACGUUUGGGAAAAGAUGCCCUGUGCUUUCUAAGCUGCUCACCAACUUCGCUGACCUGCUGAGAAGACCAAAAGCUACAGAAGAAUGACUGACAAGGGAAACAGAGAGAGACCUAUCUGUGCAGGGUCUGAGAACCUGCCGCGCCAAGUGAGAAAUGGAGGCCAUGGCAAACAGCUUACUCUCCUCCCCUCUCUUUUUCAGAAGCUUGCUGUUUCAGAAAGGAUUUGAAAGGUGUAAGCUUCCCAUUAGGGAGGCUGUGACAUGGUAAUGGAAAACUCUCCUCCUCAAUCCAUUCUCCCACCUCCCUUCCCCUCCUUUUACAAGCUUUGCUUAAAACCUCCAGUUCCCUAGGAAUUUUAUGAAUGCCUGAGAGCAGCCAAAAUAAACUCGUAAAGAAAAAGUUUCGAAAAAAAGGUCACAGACCCGUACAGCAAGUGCUAACUGGGAACUAUUUGAAUGCAGGAGGGCAGCAAACGACUUGGAGAAAAGAAAGGCAGGGCUGCAAUGCAAGCUGGCAACCCGUUGACUCUGUUGCGAAAAGUCCAUGAAUUUGCAUUUACAAAAGUGAUUCCCGCCUUCCGUCCCCUCAAAGACAUGCCCCACCCUGCCCUGCAACACUGGUAAGGAAGCUUUACCACUGACUUGAACCAAAGCCAUGUUUGUUUUUGAGCUUCUCUGGAGCAGUAAGUAGGCCAAAGAUUACAGACCGAGAAGUGAAACUCAGUUGAAGCUAAGAAUCUGACAUGGCCCAUAUAAAACCAGUCAGGAGGACAAGGUUUCUUUAAAUUUGCCAGCCACUGUUUGAAGAUAUGUCGAUAGUUUUCACUACCUUUUAAAAAGUUUUUAUGCUUGUAUUUUAUAGUUUUUAAAUUAGAUUUGUUUUAUAUUUUUAGCUUAAUAUUUUAAUUGUCAUUUUAAUUGUAUGUUUUUAACUUUUGUAAACCGCCUUGGGGUUGUUUUUAAUGAAAGGCGGUAUAGAACUUCAACAAUAAAUAAAUAAAUAAAUA